UUGAAAGGGAAACGAUUGAAGUCAGUCGUACCGACGAGAAAUCAGCUCUUUGAGUGUGGACUUGUGGGCGUGCGUGAGCUUUACGGUCUCGCUGUUUGCAAUGUUUGUUCUUUUUGGGUGUACUUUUCGUAUGGUAGGCCAACAUCAGUUUCGAAUACCAUAAAAUAGACCGGCGGAAUGUAGCUUCGAUCUCGUAUUGAAGUGUUAUAGCCUCUGGUAGGAUGUGGUGUUUGGGUACUGAGGAUUGCAACGAAUAUCCUUUGGGCUAUCCGUCUGAUCUCUGAAAGUUGCUUAGGUGCCGAAAGCGUGCUUACGGUUUAUUUAAGUUGACGGUCAAAAGGUUAGAACGUGAUUACAUUCGUUAAGGAUGUUUGACGUA
RNAcentral lists this ribosomal RNA (379 nucleotides) under uncultured Glomeromycotina. RNAcentral's name for it is "LSU rRNA". The record is from RNAcentral. Lineage: Eukaryota; Fungi; Glomeromycota.